GACGAACGCUGGCGGCGUGCUUAACACAUGCAAGUCGUACGGUAAGGCCCUUUCGGGGGUACACGAGUGGCGAACGGGUGAGUAACACGUGAGUAACCUGCCCACAACUUUGGGAUAACGCUAGGAAACUGGUGCUAAUACUGGAUAUGUGCUCCUGCUGCAUGGUGGGGGUUGGAAAGCUCCGGCGGUUGUGGAUGGACUCGCGGCCUAUCAGCUUGUUUGUGGGGUAGUGGCCUACCAAGGCGGCGACGGGUAGCCGGCCUGAGAGGGUGACCGGCCACAUUGGGACUGAGAGACGGCCCAGACUCCUACGGGGGGCAGCAGUGGGGAAUAUUGCACAACGGGCGCAAGCCUGAUGCAGCAACGCCGCGUGCGGGAUGACGGCCUUCGGGUUGUAAACCGCUUUCAGCAGGGACGAAGCUUUUUGUGACGGUACCUGCAGAAGAAGCACCGGCUAACUACGUG
Molecule: ribosomal RNA, 465 nt
Filed under: uncultured bacterium
Lineage: Bacteria
Description: partial 16S ribosomal RNA
Rfam family: Bacterial small subunit ribosomal RNA
Source: RNAcentral